This 66-nucleotide small nucleolar RNA is filed under the name Salvator merianae (Argentine black and white tegu). RNAcentral's name for it is "Small nucleolar RNA SNORD104 (ENSSMRG00000004871.1)". It matches the Rfam family "Small nucleolar RNA SNORD104". From Rfam's summary of the family: The members of this family belong to the C/D class of snoRNAs which contain the C (UGAUGA) and D (CUGA) box motifs. Most of the members of the box C/D family function in directing site-specific 2'-O-methylation of substrate RNAs. The record is from Rfam by way of RNAcentral. Lineage: Eukaryota; Metazoa; Chordata; Lepidosauria; Squamata; Teiidae.
GCUGUGAUGAUUCUCCUUUUGGCGUGUUAGACUGCUGAAGCAGAUGACGAGAUACAGAAUCUGAGC